Molecule: long non-coding RNA, 163 nt
Organism: Talpa occidentalis (Iberian mole)
Lineage: Eukaryota; Metazoa; Chordata; Mammalia; Eulipotyphla; Talpidae
Exons: 3
Source: RefSeq, a predicted model, not a curated record
UCAAGAAUAUGGAAUGUGUUUGCAUCAUGAUGCUGUUUCACAAGAAGGGCACUCCACAAAGAAAUUAGCUGAAAUACAAACUCCAGGUAAUGUAAUAAGAAAGAAAUAUUUUGUUACUCAAGAAGGAAAUAUAAAGAGAUAUUCACCAUUUGGAAUGUAUUCU